Molecule: long non-coding RNA, 6951 nt
Organism: Tympanuchus pallidicinctus (lesser prairie-chicken)
Lineage: Eukaryota; Metazoa; Chordata; Aves; Galliformes; Phasianidae
Exons: 21
Source: RefSeq, a predicted model, not a curated record
GUAGAAUCGAAGUUAAUUCUGAAGGCAUAUGCCUUAUUUUCAUAACAUCUAAGUUAAUUGUGAAGGCAUAUGCGUUUAAUGCCAUAGAAUCUGAGUUAAUUCUGAAGGCAUAUGCCUGAAUUAUAUAGUAUCUAAGUUAAUUCUGAAGUUAUAUGCCUUAAUUCCAUGGAUUUAAACAUUAUUCUGAAGGCAUAUGCUUUAAUUAUGCAGGGUCUCAGUUAAUUCUGAUGGCAUUACCCUUAAUUCCAUGGGAUCUCAGUUAAUUCUCAAGGCAUAUGCCUUAAUUACGUAAGUUGUAAGUUAAUUCUGAAGGCAUUUCCCUAAAUUUAAUAGGAUCUCAGUUAAUUCUGAAGGCAUAGGCCUUAAUUAUGUAGAAACCAAGUUAAUUCUGAAGGCAUAAGCCUUAAUUCCAUAGCAUCUAAGUUAAUUGUGAAGGCAUAUGCCUUAAUUAGGUAGGGUCUGAGUUAAUUCUGAUGGCAUAUGCCUUAAUUCCAUAGCAUCUAAGUUAAAUGUGAAGGCAUAUGGCUUAAUCCAUAGGAUGUUAUUUAAAUCUGAAGGCGUUUAAUUCCAUAGGAUCGGAGUUAAUUCUGAUGGCGUAUGCCUUAAUUAUAUAGGUUCUAUGGUUAUUCUGAAGGUAUAAACCACUAAUUGCAUAGGAUCUAAGUUAAUUCUGAAGGUAUAGGCCUUUAAUUCCAUAGGCUCUGAUUUAAUUCUGAAGUUAUAUGACUUUAAUUCCAUAUUAUCUAAGUUAAUUCUGAAUCUAUAUGGCUUUAAUUACAUAGGAUCUCAGUUAAUUCUGAAGGCUUCUGCCUUAGUUCCAUAGCAUCUAAGUUAAUUGUGAAGGCAUAUGCCUUAAUUAUGUAGAAUCCAAGUUAAUUCUGAAGGCAUAUGCCUUAAUUAUAUAGGACUUAAUUUAAUUCUGAAGGCAUAUUCCUUAAUUCCAUUGGAUCUAACUUAAUUCUGAAGGCAUAUGCUUUAAUUAUGCAGGGUCUAAGUUAAUUCUGAUGGCAUAUCCCUUAAUUCCAUGGGAUCUAAGUUAAUUCUCAAGGCAUAUGCCUUAAUUACGUAAAAUCGAAGUUAAUUCUGAAGGCAUAUGCCUUAUUUUCAUAACAUCUAAGUUAAUUGUGAAGGCAUAUGCGUUUAAUGCCAUAGAAUCUGAGUUAAUUCUGAAGGCAUAUGCCUGAAUUAUAUAGUAUCUAAGUUAAUUCUGAAGUUAUAUGCCUUAAUUCCAUGGAUUUAAACAUUAUUCUGAAGGCAUAUGCCUUAAUUAUGUUGGGUCUAAGUUAAUUCUGAUGGCAUAUGCCUUAAUUCCAUAGCAUCUCAGUUAAUUCUGAAGGUGUAUGCCUUAAUUAUGUAGAAUCGAAGUUAAUUCUGAAGGCAUAUGCCUUAUUUUCAUAACAUCUAAGUUAAUUGUGAAGGCAUAUGCGUUUAAUGCCAUAGAAUCUGAGUUAAUUCUGAAGGCAUAUGCCUGAAUUAUAUAGUAUCUAAGUUAAUUCUGAAGUUAUAUGCCUUAAUUCCAUGGAUUUAAACAUUAUUCUGAAGGCAUAUGCCUUAAUUAUGUAGGGUCUCAGUUAAUUCUGAUGGCAUUACCCUUAAUUCCAUGGGAUCUCAGUUAAUUCUCAAGGCAUAUGCCUUAAUUACGUAAGUUGUAAGUUAAUUCUGAAGGCAUUUCCCUAAAUUUAAUAGGAUCUCAGUUAAUUCUGAAGGCAUAGGCCUUAAUUAUGUAGAAACCAAGUUAAUUCUGAAGGCAUAAGCCUUAAUUCCAUAGCAUCUAAGUUAAUUGUGAAGGCAUAUGCCUUAAUUAGGUAGGGUCUGAGUUAAAUGUGAAGGCAUAUGGCUUAAUCCAUAGGAUGUUAUUUAAAUCUGAAGGCGUUUAAUUCCAUAGGAUCGGAGUUAAUUCUGAUGGCGUAUGCCUUAAUUAUAUAGGUUCUAUGGUUAUUCUGAAGGUAUAAACCACUAAUUGCAUAGGAUCUAAGUUAAUUCUGAAGGUAUAGGCCUUUAAUUCCAUAGGCUCUGAUUUAAUUCUGAAGUUAUAUGACUUUAAUUCCAUAUUAUCUAAGUUAAUUCUGAAUCUAUAUGGCUUUAAUUACAUAGGAUCUCAGUUAAUUCUGAAGGCUUCUGCCUUAGUUCCAUAGCAUCUAAGUUAAUUGUGAAGGCAUAUGCCUUAAUUAUGUAGAAUCCAAGUUAAUUCUGAAGGCAUAUGCCUUAAUUAUAUAGGACUUAAUUUAAUUCUGAAGGCAUAUUCCUUAAUUCCAUUGGAUCUAACUUAAUUCUGAAGGCAUAUGCUUUAAUUAUGCAGGGUCUAAGUUAAUUCUGAUGGCAUAUCCCUUAAUUCCAUGGGAUCUAAGUUAAUUCUCAAGGCAUAUGCCUUAAUUACGUAAGUUCUAUGUUAAUUCUGAAGAAUGUGCCUUAAUUCCAUAGCAUCUAAGUUAAUUGUCAAAGGUUGGGUCUAAGUUAAUUCUGAUGGCAUAUGCCUUAAUUCCAUAGCAUCUCAGUUAAUUCUGAAGGUGUAUGCCUUAAUUAUGUAGAAUCGAAGUUAAUUCUGAAGGCAUAUGCCUUAUUUUCAUAACAUCUAAGUUAAUUGUGAAGGCAUAUGCGUUUAAUGCCAUAGAAUCUGAGUUAAUUCUGAAGGCAUAUGCCUGAAUUAUAUAGUAUCUAAGUUAAUUCUGAAGUUAUAUGCCUUAAUUCCAUGGAUUUAAACAUUAUUCUGAAGGCAUAUGCCUUAAUUAUGUAGGGUCUCAGUUAAUUCUGAUGGCAUUACCCUUAAUUCCAUGGGAUCUCAGUUAAUUCUCAAGGCAUAUGCCUUAAUUACGUAAGUUGUAAGUUAAUUCUGAAGGCAUUUCCCUAAAUUUAAUAGGAUCUCAGUUAAUUCUGAAGGCAUAGGCCUUAAUUAUGUAGAAACCAAGUUAAUUCUGAAGGCAUAAGCCUUAAUUCCAUAGCAUCUAAGUUAAUUGUGAAGGCAUAUGCCUUAAUUAGGUAGGGUCUGAGUUAAAUGUGAAGGCAUAUGGCUUAAUCCAUAGGAUGUUAUUUAAAUCUGAAGGCGUUUAAUUCCAUAGGAUCGGAGUUAAUUCUGAUGGCGUAUGCCUUAAUUAUAUAGGUUCUAUGGUUAUUCUGAAGGUAUAAACCACUAAUUGCAUAGGAUCUAAGUUAAUUCUGAAGGUAUAGGCCUUUAAUUCCAUAGGCUCUGAUUUAAUUCUGAAGUUAUAUGACUUUAAUUCCAUAUUAUCUAAGUUAAUUCUGAAUCUAUAUGGCUUUAAUUACAUAGGAUCUCAGUUAAUUCUGAAGGCUUCUGCCUUAGUUCCAUAGCAUCUAAGUUAAUUGUGAAGGCAUAUGCCUUAAUUAUGUAGAAUCCAAGUUAAUUCUGAAGGCAUAUGCCUUAAUUAUAUAGGACUUAAUUUAAUUCUGAAGGCAUAUUCCUUAAUUCCAUUGGAUCUAACUUAAUUCUGAAGGCAUAUGCUUUAAUUAUGCAGGGUCUAAGUUAAUUCUGAUGGCAUAUCCCUUAAUUCCAUGGGAUCUAAGUUAAUUCUCAAGGCAUAUGCCUUAAUUACGUAAGUUCUAUGUUAAUUCUGAAGAAUGUGCCUUAAUUCCAUAGCAUCUAAGUUAAUUGUCAAAGGUUGGGUCUAAGUUAAUUCUGAUGGCAUAUGCCUUAAUUCCAUAGCAUCUCAGUUAAUUCUGAAGGUGUAUGCCUUAAUUAUGUAGAAUCGAAGUUAAUUCUGAAGGCAUAUGCCUUAUUUUCAUAACAUCUAAGUUAAUUGUGAAGGCAUAUGCGUUUAAUGCCAUAGAAUCUGAGUUAAUUCUGAAGGCAUAUGCCUGAAUUAUAUAGUAUCUAAGUUAAUUCUGAAGUUAUAUGCCUUAAUUCCAUGGAUUUAAACAUUAUUCUGAAGGCAUAUGCCUUAAUUAUGUAGGGUCUCAGUUAAUUCUGAUGGCAUUACCCUUAAUUCCAUGGGAUCUCAGUUAAUUCUCAAGGCAUAUGCCUUAAUUACGUAAGUUGUAAGUUAAUUCUGAAGGCAUUUCCCUAAAUUUAAUAGGAUCUCAGUUAAUUCUGAAGGCAUAGGCCUUAAUUAUGUAGAAACCAAGUUAAUUCUGAAGGCAUAAGCCUUAAUUCCAUAGCAUCUAAGUUAAUUGUGAAGGCAUAUGCCUUAAUUAGGUAGGGUCUGAGUUAAUUCUGAUGGCAUAUGCCUUAAUUCCAUAGGUCUACGUUUAUUCUGAAGGCAUAUGCCUUAAUUCCAUGGCAUCUAAGUGAACUCUGAAGGCUAAUGCCUUAAGUCCAUAGAAUCUAAGUUAAUUCUGAAGGUAUAUGCCUUAAUUAUGUAAGGUUUAAGUUAAUUCUGAAGUCAUAUGCCUUCUUUUCAUAGCAUCUAAGUUAAAUGUGAAGGCAUAUGGCUUAAUCCAUAGGAUGUUAUUUAAAUCUGAAGGCGUUUAAUUCCAUAGGAUCGGAGUUAAUUCUGAUGGCGUAUGCCUUAAUUAUAUAGGUUCUAUGGUUAUUCUGAAGGUAUAAACCACUAAUUGCAUAGGAUCUAAGUUAAUUCUGAAGGCAUAUUCCUUAAUUUCAUGGAAUCUAAGUUAAUUCUGUAGGCAUAUGCCAUAAUUAUGUGGGAUAUAAGUUAAUUCUGAAGUUAUAUGCCUUAAUUUUGUGGGAUUAAACUGUAUUCUGAAGGUAUAGGCCUUUAUUAUAUAGGAUGUAAGUUAAUUCUGAUGGCAUAUGCCUUAAUUCCAUAGGUCUACGUUUAUUCUGAAGGCAUAUGCCUUAAUUCCAUGGCAUCUAAGUGAACUCUGAAGGCUAAUGCCUUAAGUCCAUAGAAUCUAAGUUAAUUCUGAAGGUAUAUGCCUUAAUUAUGUAAGGUUUAAGUUAAUUCUGAAGGUAUAUGCCUUAAUUAUGUAGGAUCUAAGUUAAUUCUGAAGUCAUAAGCCUCAAUUAUGCACGAUCUAAGUUAAUUCUGAAGUCAUAUGCCUUCUUUUCAUAGCAUCUAAGUUAAAUGUGAAGGCAUAUGGCUUAAUCCAUAGGAUGUUAUUUAAAUCUGAAGGCGUUUAAUUCCAUAGGAUCGGAGUUAAUUCUGAUGGCGUAUGCCUUAAUUAUAUAGGUUCUAUGGUUAUUCUGAAGGUAUAAACCACUAAUUGCAUAGGAUCUAAGUUAAUUCUGAAGGCAUAUGCCUUAAUUAUGUAGAAUCCAAGUUAAUUCUGAAGGCAUAUGCCUUAAUUAUAUAGGACUUAAUUUAAUUCUGAAGGCAUAUUCCUUAAUUCCAUUGGAUCUAACUUAAUUCUGAAGGCAUAUGCUUUAAUUAUGCAGGGUCUACGUUUAUUCUGAAGGCAUAUGCCUUAAUUCCAUGGCAUCUAAGUGAACUCUGAAGGCUAAUGCCUUAAGUCCAUAGAAUCUAAGUUAAUUCUGAAGGUAUAUGCCUUAAUUAUGUAAGGUUUAAGUUAAUUCUGAAGGUAUAUGCCUUAAUUAUGUAGGAUCUAAGUUAAUUCUGAAGGUAUAUGCCUUUAAUUCCAUAGGCUCUGAUUUAAUUCUGAAGUUAUAUGACUUUAAUUCCAUAUUAUCUAAGUUAAUUCUGAAUCUAUAUGGCUUUAAUUACAUAGGAUCUCAGUUAAUUCUGAAGGCUUAUGCCUUAGUUCCAUAGCAUCUAAGUUAAUUGUGAAGGCAUAUGCCUUAAUUAUGUAGAAUCCAAGUUAAUUCUGAAGGCAUAUGCCUUAAUUAUAUAGGACUUAAUUUAAUUCUGAAGGCAUAUUCCUUAAUUCCAUUGGAUCUAACUUAAUUCUGAAGGCAUAUGCUUUAAUUAUGCAGGGUCUAAAUUAAUUGUGAAGGCAUAUGCCUUUAAUUCUAUAGGAUCUGAGUAAAUUCUGAAUGCAUAUACCUUAAUUCCAUAGCAUCUCAGUUAAUUCUGAAGGUGUAUGCCUUAAUUAUGUAGAAUCGAAGUUAAUUCUGAAGGCAUAUGCCUUAUUUUCAUAACAUCUAAGUUAAUUGUGAAGGCAUAUGCGUUUAAUUCCAUAGGAUCUGAGUUAAUUCUGAAGGCAUAUGCCUGAAUUAUAUAGUAUCUAAGUUAAUUCUGAAGUUAUAUGCCUUAAUUCCAUGGAACUAAACUUUAUUCUGAAAGUAUAGGCCUUAAUUAUGUAGGGUCUAAGUUAAUUCUGAAGGCAUAUUCCUUAAUUCCAUUGGAUCUAACUUAAUUCUGAAGGGAUAUGCUUUAAUUAUGCAUGGUCUAAGUUAAUUCUGAUGGCAUAUGCCUUUAAAUCCUUAGGAUAUCAGUUAAUUCUGCAGGCAUAUGCCUCAAUUCCAUUGCAUCUAAGUUCAUUCUGAAGGUAUCCGCCUUAAUUAUAUAGGUUCUAUGUUAAUUCUGAAGUAUAUGCCUUAAUUGUAUAGCAUCUAAGUUAUUUGUGAAGGCAUAUACCUUAAUUAUUUAGGGUCUAAGUUAAUUCUGAUGGCAUAUUCCUUAAUUAUGUAGGGUUUAAGUUAAUUCUGAAGGUAUAUGCCUUAAUUCCAUGGGAUUAAACUUUAUUCUGAAGGCAUAUGCCUUAAUUACGUAAGUUGUAAGUUAAGUCUGAAGGCAUUUGCAUUAAUUUCAUAGGAUCUCAGUUAAUUCUGAUGGCAUAUGCCUUAAUUCCAUAGCAUCUCAGUUAAUUCUGAAGGCAUAUGCCUUCAAUUCUAUACUAUCUGAGUUAAUUCUGAAGGCAUAUACCUUAAUUCCAUAGCAUCUAAGUUAAUUCUGAAGGCAUAUGCCUUAAUUUUGUGGGCCUAAGUUAUUUCUGAAGGCAUAUUCCUUAAUUCCAUAGCAUCUAAGUUAAUUCUGAAGGCAUAUGCCUUAAUUAUGUAGGGUCUAAGUUAAUUCUGAUGGCAUAUGCCUUAAUUCCAUGGGAUCUCAGUUAAUUCUGAAGGUAUCUGCCUUAAUUAUGUAGAAUCUAAGCUAAUUCUGAAGGCAUAUGCCUUGAAUUCCAUAGAAUCUAAGGUAAUUCUGA